This 216-nucleotide ribosomal RNA is filed under the name Campeiostachys nutans. Its description in RNAcentral is "Elymus nutans partial small subunit ribosomal RNA". The stretch from base 40 to 216 matches the Rfam family "Eukaryotic small subunit ribosomal RNA", at positions 686 to 864 of the family's 1831-position model. The record is from RNAcentral. Lineage: Eukaryota; Viridiplantae; Streptophyta; Magnoliopsida; Poales; Poaceae.
GGGUUAGUAGGUUGGUCAUGCCUCUGGUAUGCACUGGUCUCACUGAUUCCUCCUUCCUGAUGAGCCGUAAUGCCAUUAAUUUGAUGUCGUGGAGAAUCAGGACUGUUACUUUGAAAAAAUUAGAGUGUUUAAAGCAAGCUAACGCUUGAAUACAUUAGCAUGGAAUAAUGAAAUAGGACGUUCGAUCCUAUUUUGUUGGUUUCUAGGAUUGACGUA